RNAcentral lists this ribosomal RNA (250 nucleotides) under uncultured prokaryote. RNAcentral's name for it is "partial 16S ribosomal RNA". It matches the Rfam family "Bacterial small subunit ribosomal RNA", at positions 524 to 773 of the family's 1533-position model. The record is from RNAcentral.
UACGGAGGAUGCGAGCGUUAUCCGGAUUUAUUGGGUUUAAAGGGUGCGCAGGCGGCUGCGCAAGUCAGCGGUCAAACCCCGGUGCUCAACGCCGGGCCGCCGUUGAGACUGCGCUGGCUGGAGUGUGUCCGACGGGCGCGGAAUGCGUGGUGUAGCGGUGAAAUGCAUAGAUAUCACGCAGAACGCCGAUUGCGAAGGCAGCGUCCGAGGGCAUGACUGACGCUCAUGCACGAAGGCGUGGGUAUCGAAC